This is a long non-coding RNA of Triticum dicoccoides, 830 nucleotides long. RefSeq lists it as uncharacterized. The transcript is spliced from 2 exons. The record is from RefSeq and is a predicted model, not a curated record. NCBI's taxonomy places the organism in Eukaryota, Viridiplantae, Streptophyta, Magnoliopsida, Poales, Poaceae.
GCGCUGCCAUGUUCUGGGCCACGGCUCGGGCCUGAGACCAUAACGGCCACCGUCCACUGGCCAUCUUAUCUACUGUGUCUCACCUACCACCCACCCUCCUCUCGAUCCUUCCUGCUCCUCUCUCCUUAUACCAUACAACCUCGCUGCAAGAAACCAGACCGAGGCCAUGUGCUCAUCAGCUUCUUCCUCGUACCAUGAGGCAUGAGAGGAAGCUCCUGCUCAUCCCUUCCCGGAUUGCGGCGGCAAGGUCGUCACCUUUGUCUCGCGGGCCGGAGCCCGGUUCUACAUGUGCGUAAACAAGGAUGCUAGACUAGCGGCUUCAUGAGAUCCACCGACACUUACCUGCCGAAGCUAAGUUGCUAUGACCUGCCCCACGUGCACGGAUUGCAGCAGCCGCUGUUGUCCGUGCAUCCAUCGUCGUCUCUCCAACACAGAUCUCGUCGGGAGCAGCCUUUCCCCGACGAAACACAGAUCAACCACCAAGCUGCACAUGUACGUCCUCAGCCACAGAUUCUGCAGUCGGCCCCUCACUCCGGUUCUUCGUGGUGUUGCUCGUCUGACUCUCAUCGCGUAUUUGGUGCUCCUGGCCGGCAGCAACCUGGUGCUUGUGUUAGCGUGGUUGGUUCUGAUUUUCGGGCAGCAUAACAAUUAGUAUUUCUUUCUAGCUAAGUAGAGCCAGGUGGCAGCGUCCAAGAUGUACUACGAACAUAUGUAAUCCCAAAUAGAUUUUGGUACUAAGCGCUAAGUCCUUUAUCAUUAGCCCUAGUGUUUUUUUGUCUGUAAUCUCGUGUAAGCAUCGGUUUAAGUAAAAAUACUACUGCUGCCAGACA